RNAcentral lists this ribosomal RNA (507 nucleotides) under uncultured bacterium. Its description in RNAcentral is "partial 16S ribosomal RNA". It matches the Rfam family "Bacterial small subunit ribosomal RNA", at positions 30 to 523 of the family's 1533-position model. The record is from RNAcentral.
AUUGAACGCUGGCGGCAGGCCUAACACAUGCAAGUCGAGCGGCAGCGGGAAAGUAGCUUGCUACUUUUGCCGGCGAGCGGCGGACGGGUGAGUAAUGCCUGGGAAAUUGCCCAGUCGAGGGGGAUAACAGUUGGAAACGACUGCUAAUACCGCAUACGCCCUACGGGGGAAAGCAGGGGACCUUCGGGCCUUGCGCGAUUGGAUAUGCCCAGGUGGGAUUAGCUAGUUGGUGAGGUAAUGGCUCACCAAGGCGACGAUCCCUAGCUGGUCUGGGAGGAGGAUCAGCCACACUGGAACUGAGACACGGUCCAGACUCCUACGGGAGGCAGCAGUGGGGAAUAUUGCACAAUGGGGAAACCCUGAUGCAGCCAUGCCGCGUGUGUGAAGAAGGCCUUCGGGUUGUAAAGCACUUUCAGCGAGGAGGAAAGGUUGAUGCCUAAUACGUAUCAACUGUGACGUUACUCGCAGAAGAAGCACCGGCUAACUCCGUGCCAGCCGCCGCGGUAA